This 932-nucleotide long non-coding RNA is filed under the name Mytilus galloprovincialis (Mediterranean mussel). Lineage: Eukaryota; Metazoa; Mollusca; Bivalvia; Mytilida; Mytilidae. The record is from RNAcentral.
CAUCUAUACUUUUCACUAAAAAAUAUUAAAGUGUAAUAUAAUAAGCAAGAUGUACUUAUCUUUUAGUUAUGUGUUGUUUCGAAUCUGCAACUUGUCUCUCCUGCUACUGGUUCUCUCUUCCUCUCAUUGUUUCUCCUUCUGUAGUCUCAAUUUUGAAAUUUAAGUUUUAAAUAAUUUUGAAUGAAUUUUGCCAACCUACAUUCUAGCUAUGCAGUUUCAGAAUCUCAUUUGUAUCAUGCCUCGGGUCAAUCCACCAUAUCUGUCACCAAGGUCCACUCCAGAGCACUGUUAGAUAAGGGGGAGCUAACUCGUAUGUGCUGGAACCAAGGGACAGGGGUCAGUCUAUCGCUAGACUUAAUGUUCUGAUAGGCAUAGCUAAAACGCAAGGAAGGUUUUCAUAAUUUAAUUAACGAUAACGAUUUAAAUGAAUGAUAACAAAUCAAUCAAUAAACAAUGCCAAAUAAUAAUAAUCUAAUUAAAGUACAAAGUAUCAAUUCAAAAUAACAAAUCCAAAGUAAAACUAUUUCUCUUUAAAAUGUAAAAUAUAAAAUAAAUGCCAAAAUUACUAAAUCAUAAAAUGUACUUAAUCUCAAUUUCAGAAUGUAAAAGUCUCAAAAUAAAAGUUUCUCAAAAGUAUAAUUUUCUAAAGUUAAAUUAUGAGUCAGAGAUAAAUUUUGUCUCACACUACACAGUCAACUGGUAGACUGGUAGACAGUCUUAUAGGUCCAGUAUAAUGACAUGAGUAGUGUGAGGUUACGCUUCCGAAACACUGACUGCCUUUCCAAAAUUUCACAACAAUAUUUAUACUAAAAUCUAAAAUAAAUAAAUAUGUCUCGACACGUUAAUAAUACUCUCAUUAGCAAAAAAUAAACAUUAAUUAACAAAGCCUAAUCCUAUAAUGUUUUGAUAAAAUCUUAAACUUUCAAAGUGAC